RNAcentral lists this ribosomal RNA (500 nucleotides) under uncultured bacterium. RNAcentral's name for it is "partial 16S ribosomal RNA". It matches the Rfam family "Bacterial small subunit ribosomal RNA", at positions 30 to 523 of the family's 1533-position model. The record is from RNAcentral.
AUUGAACGCUGGCGGCAUACCUUACACAUGCAAGUCGAACGGCAGCACGGGAGCAAUCCUGGUGGCGAGUGGCGAACGGGUGAGUAAAGUAUCGGAACGUGCCCAGUCGUGGGGGAUAACGUAGCGAAAGUUACGCUAAUACCGCAUACGAUCUAUGGAUGAAAGCGGGGGAUCGCAAGACCUCGCGCGAUUGGAGCGGCCGAUAUCAGAGUAGGUAGUUGGUGGGGUAAAGGCUCACCAAGCCGACGAUCAGUAGCUGGUCUGAGAGGACGACCAGCCACACUGGGACUGAGACACGGCCCAGACUCCUACGGGAGGCAGCAGUGGGGAAUUUUGGACAAUGGGCGCAAGCCUGAUCCAGCCAUGCCGCGUGCAGGAUGAAGGCCUUCGGGUUGUAAACUGCUUUUGUACGGAACGAAAAGGUUUGGCUUAAUACGUUGAACUCAUGACGGUACCGUAAGAAUAAGCACCGGCUAACUACGUGCCAGCCGCCGCCGUAA